AUGGAUGACAACCUUUGCCCCAUAAUUAGCUGGAAUGUGCGAGGGCUCAAUAUGCCGGCCAAACGGGACGCUGUCUGCGAAGCAGUAGCUGUGCAUCGACCAGCGAUCCUCUGUCUUCAGGAAACAAAGAUCGACGACUGGUCCCCAGCCCUAGUGAGGGAUAUAGGUGGUAGCACAUUAGCCGACUGUGUAGUGUUACCUGCGAUCGGAUCCAGCGGCGGGGUUGCCAUUUUGUGGGACAGCCAGAUCGUUUCGAUCGUGUCUCAGGCCGUAGGAGAAUUCGCCAUCACUGCAAAAGUGACCAUCAUCCGAUCGGCCACCGUCUUCUGGUUAACUACAGUCUACGGGCCGGCGGACGACGCUCGGAAGGACGCGUUCCUUCUCGAGCUGGCAAGGUCUGCACCCCCUAGUGAUCCC
RNAcentral lists this ribosomal RNA (417 nucleotides) under Triticum aestivum (bread wheat). Its description in RNAcentral is "partial small subunit ribosomal RNA". Lineage: Eukaryota; Viridiplantae; Streptophyta; Magnoliopsida; Poales; Poaceae. The record is from RNAcentral.